Long non-coding RNA from Pocillopora damicornis (cauliflower coral), 272 nucleotides. Lineage: Eukaryota; Metazoa; Cnidaria; Anthozoa; Scleractinia; Pocilloporidae. The record is from RefSeq and is a predicted model, not a curated record.
CCUACCGCAAAAAUGCUAGUGACUUUUAUCUUGGAAAACAAGAACUGCAAACGAGCCUGAAAGUUUCUUCUAAAAACUUUGCUAACAAUGUAUCAGUAGUUGUUGGGAUCGUGUACAAGGAUCUCCAUGAAGUAUUAGUUACAGAUCAACCCUUCAGAACCAUAACGGGCACCACAAGGUAUUUGGACUCCGGGAUAACGGCCGUGGCUAUAGAUCCAAAACCAGAAAAGUUACAAGAGAAUGUCAUUUUAAGGUUCAGAAAUACGAAGGUA